Molecule: unclassified non-coding RNA, 368 nt
Filed under: soil metagenome
Description: partial contains 5.8S ribosomal RNA, internal transcribed spacer 2, and large subunit ribosomal RNA
Rfam family: 5.8S ribosomal RNA (bases 1-120)
Source: RNAcentral
GAUGAAGAACGUAGCGAAAUGCGAUAAGUAAUGUGAAUUGCAGAAUUCAGUGAACCAUCGAAUCUUUGAACGCACAUUGCGCCCGGCAGUAAUCUGCCGGGCAUGUCUGUCCGAGCGUCAUUUCUGCCCUCGAGCGAGUCCAGCAUCUAGGUGCUGGGCCCGCCCGGCGUUGGGGCACUACGGGAAGCCCUGUGCUGUCCCCCGUAGGCCCCGAAAUGAAGUGGCGGUCCUGCCGCGGCGCCCCCUGCGUAGUAUAACAGCUCGCUUCGGGACCCGGUGGAGGCCUGCCGUCAAACCUUACUCUCUAAGUUUGACCUCGGAUCAGGUAGGGUUACCCGCUGAACUUAAGCAUAUCAAUAAGCGGAGGA